Molecule: RNA transcript, 4476 nt
Organism: Cynocephalus volans (Philippine flying lemur)
Lineage: Eukaryota; Metazoa; Chordata; Mammalia; Dermoptera; Cynocephalidae
Gene: AIFM2
Gene name: apoptosis inducing factor mitochondria associated 2
Exons: 10
Source: RefSeq, a predicted model, not a curated record
GUCUCGGGUCCCGGUGGCUUUCAGGGCGAAUUCCAGAAAGUCGGGCGGAAACUGAGCAGAGUCCUCACGGCUCAGGGAGGAGGCGCUGGCGGGCGGGGAGGCGACAUCGGCGUCAGGGGCAUUUGUUUCGAAGUUCAAGGCUGUUCGCUCCAGGCCAAGGACGAGUCCCAGGCGGGACGGGCGCGCGGGCGGGGCGUCGCCGCGGGCGGGAGGGCGACGCGGGCGCUGAGUCACUCCCUGCCCGCGAGGGACUGGGGCCGGCGGCGGCGGCGGGAGGCGGCCGGCAGUAGUGCCUGGUUUGAGAUGGGGUCCCAGGUAUCAGUGGACACAGGAGCUCUGCACGUGGUGAUCGUGGGUGGUGGCUUCGGCGGGAUUGCAGCCGCCAGCCAGCUGCAGGCGCUGAAUGUCCCCUUUGUGCUGGUGGACAUGAAGGACUCCUUCCACCACAACGUGGCAGCUCUCCGGGCCUCCGUGGAGAGUGGGUUUGCCAAGAAGACAUUCAUUUCCUACUCGGUGACCUUCAAGGACAACUUCCGGCAGGGCCUGGUGGUCGGGAUAGACCUGAAGAACCAGACAGUGCUGCUGCAGGAUGGCGAGGCCUUGCCCUUCUCACAUCUUAUCCUGGCCACAGGCAGCACCGGACCCUUCCCGGGCAAAUUUAAUGAGGUUUCCAGCCAGCAGGCCGCCAUCCAGGCCUAUGAGGACAUGGUGCAGCAGGUCCAGCGCUCGCAGUUCAUCGUGGUGGUGGGAGGAGGCUCCGCGGGAGUGGAGAUGGCUGCAGAGAUUAAAACAGAAUAUCCCGAGAAAGAGGUCACUCUCAUUCACUCCCAAGUGCCCCUGGCCGACAAGGAGCUCCUGCCUUGCGUCCGGCAGGAAGUGAAGGACAUCCUCCUGCGGAAGGGUGUGCAGCUGCUGCUGAGUGAGCGGGUGAGCAACCUGGAGGAGCUGCCUCUCAGUGAGUAUCGAGAGUACAUCAAAGUGCUGACUGACAAAGGCACGGAGGUGGCCGCCAACCUGGUGAUUCUCUGCAACGGUGUCAAGAUCAACAGCUCUGCCUACCGCGGUGCAUUUGCAGAGAGCAGACUGGCCAGCAAUGGUGCUCUGAGGGUGAAUGAGCACCUCCAGGUGGAGGGUUACAGCAAUGUUUACGCCAUCGGAGACUGUGCCAAUGUGAAGGAGCCCAAGAUGGCCUAUCAUGCCGGCCUCCAUGCCAAUGUAGCUGUGGCCAACAUUGUCAACUCUGUGAAACAGAGGCCCCUCAAGGCCUACAAGCCAGGUGCACUGACGUUCCUCCUGUCCAUGGGGAGAAAUGAUGGCGUGGGCCAGAUCAGUGGCUACUAUGUGGGUCGGCUCAUGGUUCGGCUGGUCAAGAGCCGGCACCUGUUCGUCUCUAAAAGCUGGAAAACCAUGGGGCAGUCCCCACCCUGAUGGGGAGGCCAGGUGGGAUACGAGGCACCGCUGCAGCCAGGAGAAUAGACCGCUUGACAAAGGAUGCCCACCUGUUCUAAAACAACAGGAAGGAAACAUGGAAAGAACCCCUGCGUGGAGACCUGGUUAAUUACGACUGAGGCUCUUUCCGAGGAGCAAACGCAGAGGGCUCCUUCCAGGCAGCACCCGCUCCCGCUGCCUCCACCGCCUGCUGCCCUUCCAGCCCUUGCAACUCCCCUGCCGCACCCUUCCUCUCUCCUUUUAAAAAAUAAAACCCCACUCUGGUGACUCUAAUCCUCCGGUGGUCCCUGCUGGGAAGCGCAGCAGCUACUUGGUGUCGAGCUUGGCCAUCUCCUGCACGUAGAUGCCGAUGCUCUCGCUGUCAAAGAGCAGGAAGUACACGUUCUUCAGCGAGGAUGCACUCGAGUCGUCGAAGUGGGACGAGAUUGCUUUGAGGGUCACCUGGGCUGCCGUCUGUUUGGGAAAGCAGUUUCUGUGCCAAAGCAAGAGAAGAGCCAACAUCAUUUCGGUCUCCGGGACCCACUGGAGUAACUCUCCCAGCAGCCUGGGAGGACGAUGUGGUCCCUUCUUAUAGCUUACCACACACAGGGCUGGUCCCUAGUCAAAAGGGAUAGCUGGGGAGGAGGCACUUUAUAGGUACCAACCUGACUCAGAGAGGGACAAUGACUUCAGCCAGGGUCACAGGGCUGGCAGGUGAGGAAUGCCAUGUAUUUGACUCUAUGUCGCCUGACUCAAGUUGAGCUUGGCUUUAAAAAACGCUAGCAAUUUAGCAUUAAAAAUACCUGGUCUUCCAAAAAGCAAAUAUAGGUUUUAUUAGCUCCCUCAAAACUGGCUACAUGCUAAUCAGAUUGUUUAUUCGGGGGCAAAAAUGUAUGCUCAAAAGCUCGCCUUCGUAAUUACUUUUUCAUGCACUUAAUAUUGCUCUCAUUAUCUCAUAUAGACAUGCCAAUGUGAUUUUGGCAGCUGUGACUCUAGGCAGGACCGGGUUGGUGAAAGAUUGCUAAAGGCCUGAAGUACUAGGGAGUCACUGAUAGUGCUGGCUGCCAGUUGGGCCAUGGCACCAGCCUCUGGGGACAUAGCUACAGUGGUCAUUUGGGGUCAAGAUCCCUGAGGAAGGUCCAGGCUGGGCCUGCCUAAUAUGAAUUCUGACUCACAUGUAUGUAGUGUUCUAGCACAACAUAGCACUGCCCAUGGUCCCGCCAAUAGAAGAAUUCAUCCUGCCAGGCAUUGGCCUGGACUGUGGAGGCCCAGCACCAUGUACUUAGGUUGAGAUAUGAUCAUAGCAGGGACCCAGGCCUCAUUAUUUCCCCCUUAGCCUUCCCAUGACACAGCUACAAAUCAUAUCUGUGUUAUAGAGGAGCAGCUCUGAAGAUGAGAAGGUAUUCAAAAGUAAAGCAGUAAGUUGCUUGGCCAGGAGCAUGCGGGGAGAAGAAGUGCUGCAUGCCAGAGCAGACAUCCUCCUUGCUUACCUGAACUGAUGCCCUCUGGGGCAUGUGACAAUGAACACAGUCAUUUCUCCUAGCUCCCUUUUAAGGGGGCCCGUGACGAGAGCCUUUCACUUCUCUGGGUGUACUGGUCAAAGCCUCAACCUGGCUCUGCUGUCUCCCAGCACAGCACAGGAAUCUCCCUAGGGAUUCUGAACAGGAGGUCUGGGGUAGGGCCUGAGAUUCUGCAUGCCAGCAGGGAUGUCACUGCUAUGGAUCCAUGGACUGCACUUGGAGUAUGGGCUUUUCUGAUCAUGUGUUCUGGACACGGAUAGCUGGUGGGAAUGUGGGCUUUGAACAGGGCAGGCUCCCAAUAACAUGCCACCUUGCCUCUGCCUCCCCCUCCUCCCCUGAAGCUGCCUUUCUCUCUGGCUUUACAUCAAAGAAGCAGGGGAGCUGGCCCCACACAUGGGAGACCUGAUGCCCUGUGAGCCCGUGGGCCCAUUUAUCUGUGUGUUGCAAAGGCUGGAAACUGGGUUCAUUGCUCUAUCACUUGGUAAACAUUCUAGGCUGUGCUGGCAGCCCUUGGCUGUGUCUUCUGGAAUGGCCAGAUCAGAUGGGGAUCAGUGGGGAGCAGCUGGUUCCCAGGGAAAAGGCUGGAAGAAUCAGCUCAGGAGAACUGCAUCUUACCUGCCACUGGGGAAAGGAGGGAACGCGACAGAUUUGAGCUUUUUGUCCUCUGCCGCCGACAGGCAGUUUUUGAUGGUCUCUUCAAGCUGUUCUUCACAUUUGUCGGAGCCCCACUGAGGGAUGUGACAGUGGAUGACAAAUUUGGCUGCAAGUCCACUGGAUUGGCUGACGGCGGCUGGGAAUGGGAGAAAGAAAUGCUGCAGGUUAUUUCCUGAGUCUUCCCCUUAAGCCGGGGGUCAGGCCGAACCUCAUGGAUCUACCUGUUAAAUCCGAGGGGCACAAGCAAGUGACAGAGAAGAUGGAUGCAAACGUUCGUGCUUCCCAUGAGGACCACGUUUGCCAGAGAGCAGGGGCGGUGUCAAAAUGGCUUUGGGUAGUCAGCCCAAGGUCCGGAUAAAAGCGUUUAAUGCUGAUUUGACAGGAUGUAUUUUUCACAUGGUCUACUGACUAGUCCCUGGAUUAGGCUGCCUAUUCGUGAUGGUUCCUAGUCAAAGGAACACAUGGAAAUCAUCUCUGGCAGCUAUGAUAGGCUGAGUAACAGCCUCCCCCAAAUACUCUGAAAUCUGUGGGUGUUACCUCAUAUGGCAAAAGGGAUGCAGAUAUGAUUAAUUUAAGGAUCUUGAGAUGGGAGAUUGUCAUGGAUUAUCUAGGUGAGACCUAAAUGUGAUCACAUAAGUUCUUAGGAGACAAGAAGGUCAGAGGCAGGAGAAGGCAAAGUGACGAUGGGAGCAGAGAUUGGAGUGAUGCGGCCAGGAACCAGGGGAUGUCGCAGCCCGGAAGCUGGAAAAGGCAGGGAAGGGAUUCUGCCCCGAGCCUCCAGAAGGAAUCAGCCCUGCCGGCACUUUCAUUUUAGCUCCUUCAAACCCACUGUGGACUUCUGACUGCCAGAACUAUAAGAGAAUAAAUUUGUGUU